This 273-nucleotide ribosomal RNA is filed under the name uncultured bacterium. Its description in RNAcentral is "partial 16S ribosomal RNA". It matches the Rfam family "Bacterial small subunit ribosomal RNA", at positions 524 to 796 of the family's 1533-position model. The record is from RNAcentral.
UACGGAGGGUGCGAGCGUUAAUCGGAAUUACUGGGCGUAAAGCGCACGCAGGCGGCUUGUUAAGCUAGAGGUGAAAGCCCCGCGCUCAACGUGGGAACUGCCUUUAGAACUGGCAGGCUAGAGUCUUGGAGAGGGGAGUGGAAUUCCAGGUGUAGCGGUGAAAUGCGUAGAUAUCUGGAGGAACAUCAGUGGCGAAGGCGGCUCCCUGGCCAAAGACUGACGCUCAUGUGCGAAAGUGUGGGUAGCGAACAGGAUUAGAUACCCGGGUAGUCC